RNAcentral lists this ribosomal RNA (372 nucleotides) under uncultured organism. RNAcentral describes it as "partial 16S ribosomal RNA". It matches the Rfam family "Bacterial small subunit ribosomal RNA", at positions 527 to 896 of the family's 1533-position model. The record is from RNAcentral.
GUAGGGAGCAAGCGUUGUUCGGAAUUAUUGGGCGUAAAGAGCGCGUAGGCGGCCAGGUAAGUCUGAUGUGAAAUCCCACAGCUCAACUGUGGAACUGCAUUGGAAACUGCUUGGCUAGAGUGCGGGAGAGGAGAGUGGAAUUCCCAGUGUAGAGGUGAAAUUCGUAGAUAUUGGGAGGAACACCAGUGGCGAAGGCGGCUCUCUGGACCGCAACUGACGCUGAGGCGCGAAAGCUAGGGGAGCGAACGGGAUUAGAUACCCGGUAGUCCUAGCCCGUAAACGAUGGGCACUAGGUGUGGGAGGUAUCGACCCUUCUGUGCCGCAGCUAACGCAUUAAGUGCCCCCCGCCUGGGGAGUACGGUCGCAAGACUA